Vespula vulgaris is the source of this 1444-nucleotide long non-coding RNA. RefSeq lists it as uncharacterized. Lineage: Eukaryota; Metazoa; Arthropoda; Insecta; Hymenoptera; Vespidae. The transcript is spliced from 4 exons. The record is from RefSeq and is a predicted model, not a curated record.
GUGGCUCUGUUGUCGCACUGCGGGGUCCACUUUGAUCGCCAUCUCGGAUACGCCGACACGGCUGCACGAUCUACUGCCUCGUCGUUCCGCCUAGUUGCAGAUCGCGAUUGGAAUAGUGCGCGAAUCGAUGAAUAAAUCGAGAACGGUUAUCGGUGAUAAUCAAUAGAAAACAAUAAAAUCACGAGGCAGACGCAGCGUUCGUUCGUCCAUUUAAAUUCCUUCGCGUUCUCGCGAUCGAAAUGAAUUUUAAGGAACCCGUCCAACUGCCGUUUCAAUCGGCUGCGUGCAAUGCAGCCAGUUACCUGCAAAGAAACCAAAGUCUCGCGAGUGAAACACAGCGUCGUCUCGUAAUCGAUAAGUGAUUAUCGCGUAUUAGAGUCGGUGCGUCGCGCAAGAUUGCUCGAAACUACGUAAUUUCCAGCCAGCCCAUCUUCGACCUUCCACGGAUCAAGUCCUUCCUCGAUUUCGACCUACACCGCGGACGAGUGUUUUGAAGCCAUCGGAGAACUUCUUAAAUGCCUUUGCCAGACAAGAGUGGACUAAAAAAAACCUGAUGAUCUCGAUCGGCUCGAAAAGGCAAGAUCGUGAGAUAAACGUACCUUUACCGAAGAAUCGUCAAAUGCCUGGACAAAUUACCAUGGUUUCUCCGUGUGAUCAUAGCAAAAUGCGUUUCCUUGCAUCUGGGUUGCAUCGUUUAGAAUGAGAUCAGAAAAUCUGAGCAUCGGUUUACGCGUGCCAAACAAGGAAGCAAUCGCUACUUUACAGAAACAAACCACACACCACUCUAGCGUUUAUAUGAAAAUCAGUAGUGGGGACAAGAGCUUCUUCUCUUUUACCGCAAAGUCUAAGGGGCGCCACUAUACGAAACUUUUUUUCACAAAAAAUAUCGAAAACAUUUUUACGCUACGAGUCGAGGAAUAAUUCUUGAAAUAAAUCUUGGUGAACAAGUUCUCAUUUUAAAAAUGAAGGUUUAAGUAAGCACAUGGCUUUCUCGAAUUUGUUAAAAAACUUUAUUUUCAUGCAUAAACUAUUGUCGGAAAAACUUCAUUUUUUGACACGAUUUUAUUCAAAGAAAAUAAAGCUUUUUCUAAAAUUUGAGAAAGCCAUGUCCUCGUUUGAACUUUCAUCUUUAAAAUGAGACCUUAUUCAUCAAAAUCGUUCGAAAGUUAUACCUCUAACAGCUUUAAUCUGAUAUUUCUAUAAUUGGCGUUAUUUGAAAAUCCGAAUCAAUACCGAGUAUGUAAACAAAACCCGCGACCGACUUCCACAGCCAUCAGUCUUCUUUUCUAUUUCGACGAGUAAACAUCGCAAAUCUCUCCGCCUUAUUAUAUUUAUUAUUGUAAUAUAAUUAACUAUUACUUAAACAACUGCUUAAAUAUUACCAAAUUUAAGGUAAAUCUUUUAAUACAGAAUUUUUUUUAAUAAAUCUAGGAAUAAGAUGAAA